RNAcentral lists this transfer RNA (74 nucleotides) under Candidatus Woesearchaeota archaeon. RNAcentral's name for it is "tRNA-Ile". It matches the Rfam family "tRNA". Rfam says of the family: Transfer RNA (tRNA) molecules are approximately 80 nucleotides in length. Their secondary structure includes four short double-helical elements and three loops (D, anti-codon, and T loops). Further hydrogen bonds mediate the characteristic L-shaped molecular structure. tRNAs have two regions of fundamental functional importance: the anti-codon, which is responsible for specific mRNA codon recognition, and the 3' end, to which the tRNAs corresponding amino acid is attached (by aminoacyl-tRNA synthetases). tRNAs cope with the degeneracy of the genetic code in two manners: having more than one tRNA (with a specific anti-codon) for a particular amino acid; and 'wobble' base-pairing, i.e. permitting non-standard base-pairing at the 3rd anti-codon position. Lineage: Archaea; Nanobdellati; Candidatus Woesearchaeota. The record is from RNAcentral.
GGGCCCGUAGCUUAGCCUGGUGGAGCGCACGACUGAUAAUCGUGAGGUCCGGAGUUCAAAUCUUCGCGGGCCCA